UCGGGCGGCGGGCGCAUGCGU
Molecule: non-coding RNA, 21 nt
Filed under: Arabidopsis thaliana (thale cress)
Lineage: Eukaryota; Viridiplantae; Streptophyta; Magnoliopsida; Brassicales; Brassicaceae
Source: RNAcentral